AUACUUAACUGGCAGGGGAGUUACCAUGAUCACAAUGGUAGUUUUCUCAGGGUGAGGUUUAGCCAUUGCACUCAGAAUAUACUGACCCCUGUGAUUUCCCCAAAUGUGAGACACUUGAUUACAUAAUUUGUGGUAGUGGGAGAUUGUAUUCAAGUUCUUUCCUG
RNAcentral lists this small nuclear RNA (164 nucleotides) under Carlito syrichta (Philippine tarsier). RNAcentral's name for it is "U1 spliceosomal RNA (ENSTSYG00000036576.1)". It matches the Rfam family "U1 spliceosomal RNA". Rfam says of the family: U1 is a small nuclear RNA (snRNA) component of the spliceosome (involved in pre-mRNA splicing). Lineage: Eukaryota; Metazoa; Chordata; Mammalia; Primates; Tarsiidae. The record is from Rfam by way of RNAcentral.